This 358-nucleotide ribosomal RNA is filed under the name uncultured Bacteroides sp. Its description in RNAcentral is "bacterial SSU rRNA". It matches the Rfam family "Bacterial small subunit ribosomal RNA", at positions 346 to 702 of the family's 1533-position model. The record is from RNAcentral. Lineage: Bacteria; Pseudomonadati; Bacteroidota; Bacteroidia; Bacteroidales; Bacteroidaceae.
AGGCAGCAGUGAGGAUAUUGGUCAAUGGACGCGAGUCUGAACCAGCCAAGUAGCGUGAAGGAUGACUGCCCUAUGGGUUGUAAACUUCUUUUAUAUGGGAAUAAAGUGGUCCACGUGUGGACUUUUGUAUGUACCAUAUGAAUAAGGAUCGGCUAACUCCGUGCCAGCAGCCGCGGUAAUACGGAGGAUCCGAGCGUUAUCCGGAUUUAUUGGGUUUAAAGGGAGCGUAGGYGGAYUGKUAAGUCAGUUGUGAAAGUUUGCGGCUCAACCGUAAAAUUGCAGUUGAUACUGGCAGUCUUGAGUGCAGUAGAGGUGGGCGGAAUUCGUGGUGUAGCGGUGAAAUGCUUAGAUAUCACGA